GACCUUGAAAUACCACCCUUUAAUGUUUGAUGUUCUAACGUGGACCCGUUACCCGGGUUGCGGACAGUGUCUGGUGGGUAGUUUGACUGGGGCGGUCUCCUCCUAAAGAGUAACGGAGGAGCACGAAGGUUGGCUAAUCCUGGUCGGACAUCAGGAGGUUAGUGCAAUGGCAUAAGCCAGCUUGACUGCGAGCGUGACGGCGCGAGCAGGUGCGAAAGCAGGUCAUAGUGAUCCGGUGGUUCUGAAUGGAAGGGCCAUCGCUCAACGGAUAAAAGGUACUCCGGGGAUAACAGGCUGAUACCGCCCAAGAGUUCAUAUCGACGGCGGUGUUUGGCACCUCGAUGUCGGCUCAUCACAUCCUGGGGCUGAAGUAGGUCCCAAGGGUAUGGCUGUUCGCCAUUUAAAGUGGUACGCGAGCUGGGUUUAGAACGUCGUGAGACAGUUCGGUCCCUAUCUGCCGUGGGCGCUGGAGAACUGAGGGGGGCUGCUCCUAGUACGAGAGGACCGGAGUGGACGCAUCACUGGUGUUCGGGUUGUCAUGCCAAUGGCACUGCCCGGUAGCUAAAUGCGGAAGAGA
Molecule: ribosomal RNA, 577 nt
Filed under: Salmonella enterica
Lineage: Bacteria; Pseudomonadati; Pseudomonadota; Gammaproteobacteria; Enterobacterales; Enterobacteriaceae
Also listed under: 1 other name
Description: partial 23S ribosomal RNA
Rfam family: Bacterial large subunit ribosomal RNA
Source: RNAcentral